RNAcentral lists this ribosomal RNA (215 nucleotides) under Campeiostachys nutans. RNAcentral describes it as "Elymus nutans partial small subunit ribosomal RNA". The stretch from base 37 to 215 matches the Rfam family "Eukaryotic small subunit ribosomal RNA", at positions 684 to 864 of the family's 1831-position model. Lineage: Eukaryota; Viridiplantae; Streptophyta; Magnoliopsida; Poales; Poaceae. The record is from RNAcentral.
GGAUCAGUACGCUGGUCGUGCCUUGGUAUGCACUGGUGUCACUGAUUCCUCCCUUCUGAAGAACCGUUAUGCCAUUUAUUUGGUGUGAUGGGGAAUCAGGACUGUUACUUUGAAAAAAUUAGAGUGUUUAAAGCAGGCUCGCGCUUGAAUACAUUAGCAUGGAAUAAUGAAAUAGGACGUUUGAUCUUAUUUUGUUGGUUUCUUAGAUCGACGUA